This 343-nucleotide ribosomal RNA is filed under the name Haemophilus sp. Its description in RNAcentral is "bacterial SSU rRNA". It matches the Rfam family "Bacterial small subunit ribosomal RNA", at positions 1 to 338 of the family's 1533-position model. Lineage: Bacteria; Pseudomonadati; Pseudomonadota; Gammaproteobacteria; Pasteurellales; Pasteurellaceae. The record is from RNAcentral.
UUGAAUUGAAGAGUUUGAUCAUGGCUCAGAUUGAACGCUGGCGGCAGGCUUAACACAUGCAAGUCGAACGGUAACAUAAAGAAGCUUGCUUCUUUGAUGACGAGUGGCGGACGGGUGAGUAAUGCUUGGGAAUCUAGCUUAUGGAGGGGGAUAACUACGGGAAACUGUAGCUAAUACCGCGUAGUAUCGAAAGAUGAAAGUGUGGGACCUUCGGGCCACAUGCCAUAGGAUGAGCCCAAGUGGGAUUAGGUAGUUGGUGAGGUAAAGGCUCACCAAGCCGACGAUCUCUAGCUGGUCUGAGAGGAUGACCAGCCACACUGGGACUGAGACACGGUCCAGACUC